AACCCCUGGAACCUGUGGAUAUGCUACCUGACAUGCAAAGGGGACUCUGCAGGUGUGAUUAAGAUGAGAAAACUGAGGCCCAGUGAGAUGAAGACAUCCUGUGAGAGCCAGGGCAGGGAUAGGAAUCUGGGCGACUCCAAGCCGUCCUCAGCCAUCACUGAUCAGCAUUGCCAGAUGCCAGGACCAGAGCCAUGAGCCAGACAGUCAAAGCUACAGCCCCGGUGAGGCGCCCAUCUUCACAGGGGAUAGACAGGAGACAGGUAAACAGGUAACCAUCAUGUCAGGUGCGUGCUGUAAGGAAAACAAAAGCAGG
Molecule: long non-coding RNA, 313 nt
Organism: Trichechus manatus latirostris (Florida manatee)
Lineage: Eukaryota; Metazoa; Chordata; Mammalia; Sirenia; Trichechidae
Exons: 3
Source: RefSeq, a predicted model, not a curated record